CGGAAAUGGUUCAGAUCACUUCCGGGAGCAGGCUACUGCCCAACAUGUUUUCACCGCCGAGACGGAUUCUCGUCGGAGGAGCUGGCUUCGUGCCCGAAAAAAAUCUUAAUUUAUUUUUUAUUUAUAAAUUUCAUUGCAAGAUGACGCUUUGAUUAUGUCGCUUUUUAUAUUUUCAUGACUCAUUCAUUCAGGGUGCGUCAUCAUCACCACUAGGCCGCAUCGAUUGACAAAUGUUAUGGUAAGCAAUUUGAUUCAAUCCGGACUAAUGGAGAAUUAAAAGGUGGUUUAAUUUGACCCUUUUCUUUUCUCACAGAAGUGAAUGCUAAGCCAUGGUAGUCACGUAAAUAGUUGUCACGUAGCAGGCAGCCACGUGGCUAGCAAACACGUGGUGCACCACAGAGGCCUUUACUAUGGCGUCUCACCCCCCACGACAGCCUGAACGGAACUGGAUCCACUUGGCUUAGAAGAGUGCUAUAUAUUCAAAUAAAGCACAUUUUCCUCUUAAGAACAAGUUUCAUUUAAUGUCUUGUUUUACAUAAUGAAUAAUGCACUAUAUGUGAAUCCUGGUUGACAUAUUUGGUGGUCAUGCAGGUUUAAAAGAAAUGGUGCAAGAACAAAAAUCACAAGUCCUGUUAUAACUGGAGUUUCUUGGCAACUUUCCCAAGUUUCUCUUUUAAAGCAAGACACAGUUGUAGUGUAAUUGUCACAAUUGAGAGGCGGUUAUUUUUACAAUCACUUGGCAGUUGAUCUUUUUUUUUUUUUAAACUGGAAAUGCUAGGAUAACCAGAAAUGCUUGAUGCUGAACAACUAGGUGUCUGUUCUGAGUAUUUUCCCAGGUUACGUGAAGUCCUAAUAAAGUGAUGUUUAAUAUAAAUGCUCUUUGCUUCAUCCAUAUCAAAUUAUGACUCCCAUUUAUUAGCUUUUUUUUUUUUUAAUUGAUACACAAUGACCUGAACUGUAACAUUCUGACAUCACUGAACACAACAGCAAUGUUUCUUCACAGUGCAAAUGAACAUCAAAACUUGUGGAAACAAUUUGUACAACAAUGGUACAUUUUUUUAAGCGUGGCUGCAAAUGGUGCACUGUGGAGGAAUGUUUGCUUAUUUUAAAGGCACUUUCUGCCUCAGUGACACUGACAAGAAACCGUCACCUGUAAAGCAACUAAAUGUUGGCAGAUCUGCACACAAUACAGAAAAA
Syngnathus acus (greater pipefish) is the source of this 1197-nucleotide long non-coding RNA. RefSeq lists it as uncharacterized. The record is from RefSeq and is a predicted model, not a curated record. The transcript has 2 exons. Lineage: Eukaryota; Metazoa; Chordata; Actinopteri; Syngnathiformes; Syngnathidae.